RNAcentral lists this long non-coding RNA (8278 nucleotides) under Homo sapiens (human). Its description in RNAcentral is "HSALNT0218425". Lineage: Eukaryota; Metazoa; Chordata; Mammalia; Primates; Hominidae. The record is from RNAcentral.
AAUUGCUUGAAUCCGGGAGACAGAGGUUGCAAUGAGCUGAGAUCGCACCACUGCACUCCAGCCUGGGUGACAGAGUCAGACUCUGUCUCAAAAAAAAAAAAAAAAAAAAUUAGCGGGACAUGGUGUGGUGGUGCAUGACUGUAAAUCCCAGCUACUUGGGAGGCUGAGGCAGGAGAAUCACUUGAACGAAGAGGUGGAGGCUCCAAGCCCCAUUCUCACACAAGUUCUCCAAGGCUGUUGCAUUUACACAUGCCCAGGACUGUUGGAUGGUGGGUUGUCUACAGAGGAUUGGUCCAUGGUAAUUUACCCUUGAUGUUCAUUGGACAGAUGAUGUUUAAAGGCUAAAUAAAAGUUAGCCAGGUGGACAAGAAAAGGAAGGACAUUCUAAGUGGAGAGAACAGUGUGUGUAAACAGAAGAAAAAGACAGUAUAGUGUAUGGAUUCACAAAAUCUUAUCUUUCAUUCUGAAAUCCCAAAAGUUCAAAAAGCUCAAAGCUUUUCUUAACCUAUUUGUCAGGAAAACCAGACCCAACUCAAUUUGAACUCAUGGGUGUGCUGCAUUUGUCGGGGACCCAUCAGGACACAGUGGCAUUCUCAAAUUGGGAUCACUUGAAGAAGAUUUAAUAAAGAGAUUUUGUAUACAGGUGUGGGUGAGGUGCAGAAAAACCAUGGGAAGCGGGGCGGGCACUCACACCUGUAAUCCCAGCACUCUGGGAGGCCGAGGUGGGCGGAUCACUCGAGAUCAGGAGUUCAAGAAUAGCCUGGCCAAUAUGGUGAGACCCCGUCCCUACUAAAAAUACAAAAAUUAGUCAGGCAUGAUGACAGGGGCCUUAGCUACAUGGGAGGCUGAGGCAGGAGAAUCGCUUGAACCAGGGAGGCAGAGGUCGCAGUGAGCGGAGAUUGCGCCACUGUACUCCAGCUUGGAUGACAGACAGCGCAAGACUCUGUCUCAAAAAAGAAAACAAACAAACAAAAAACCACAGGGGAUAGUGUUGGCACAAGGGAUAGUGGUGUGAAAGUGAGACAGUACCCUAGCACUAGAAAGAACAGAACUGUUAUGACUCCUAGAUGCAAAGAGAUGAGAAGAGGGAGUGCUUCUUAGAACUCAGAAGGAAAGAGUCAUGGGAAGAUGACUGCCUAAGAGCAACAGUGAGUCUCAGAAUGUUCUUCAGGCAAGGGAAAUACCCCAACCUUCCUGGGGAGCUUGAUGGGCUCCCCGUUGGUUAUACCCCAUCAGUAGCCUGAGGGCAACAGAGUGCGAAGCUGAAGUCCAGAUAGGUCAGUUUCCCGUGGCACAGAGCAGGUGGAAAAGGAUAGAAAAUAGAUCUAGAGGGGCCAAAGGAAGUGGCCCUUGCUAAGUGGAAAACCAGACCUGAACUGACCUAAGGUCAUUUGCAAAUGUAUUCAUACUUAAUGUGAAUAUUUAGGUUUCUGGCAGAGAUGUUUAUGUUUGUAAUGAUGAAUUGAUGUCUUAGACCCUGCUAGGUGUUGUGUACUAUAUGAUACAAGCAUGGGGUUACUUGUCAAAAACCUGAAAAAAAUUAUGAAUUUGGAAAUACCUCUGGCCUCUGGGAGCUUUGCUAAGAGAAUAUGGGCCUGCAUAUAGUAAACUGGAGACAUUUUUAUAUGUCUCAAAGAUUUUGCACGUGGGGAAUGGGGUGGGGAGUUGGCAGCAGUACAAUAUCGAAGGCAAGAAAGGAGGUGAAAAGGUGCACUGGAGCCACAGCAUUAAGGUUUUUAUGCCAAGCAAAGAGGAUGGACUUGGCUGUAAAUGGUGAGGAAUUGUAACAAGGGAUUUUAAACUGGGAUGACAUGAUUAGACACAUGUUUUAGGAAGACCAUGCUGGCUGUAAUGCGCAGGUUGGACUCUCCUGGGCAACAGAGCACAGGAAGUCCUGGGUUUGGGAUUUCUGUCAUUCCUGAGCGUGGAGAAAGAGAAGGGGAGGUGGAGAGGUAUGAGAGACUGGCCCUAGUGAUUCCCAUGACUGCACAAUGUGACACUUGAAUGGAUCAUGGAGGAAGCAGAGGCAACACAUACUAAAGGCAGGGAGAGGACACUCUUUCAGAUGUCAUCUUCAGCUCUGCUUAGUAAGCUGAUUAACAAAGCUUUUGCCAGCAUCUGAGAUGCAUGUCCACCAAGAGAUACCGUUCUCUUGCUUCUUGAAUCAUAGAUUUUAUUUUUAAGAUUAAAUAGGAUUAAAUCUUAAUCCUAUUUAACCUGCAGAUAUUAAGCAGCAGGAGUUAUCCAGAGACUCAGCAAAAGAAUCUGGAUUGGUCCCCUAACUCUAUGUCAUGUUGUUUUCAUCAUACCACACUGCCAUUCGAUCAGUGAUGUUAAAUUAAAUGAGCAGGAACCACUAGCUUGAGGCUGUCUCCGUACUUUGAGUUCCUAUAUACUUAACAAACUGUAACCUAACUUGGUGCAAAACAAAUGGAAAGCCUAACUUAGGAGUAUAUUUUGUAACAGCCAAGCUUCAGCCAAUGACAGGCAGCCAAGUGAUCAGACCAUCCCCAAAUAAGGCAGCCACUUAACUGUAGCCAAUCAGGUGAUUUUUCUACUUUGCUUCUAUGUUUGGCCUAUAAAAACUUGUUGCUCACACUGCUUUGCUCAAAUAAACUCUGCUAAAUUUAAUUUGUCUCCUUUUUUUUUUGUUUGAGACAGAGUCUCACUCUGUUGCCAGGCUGGAGUACAAUGGUGUGAUCUUGGCUCACUGCAACCUCUGCCUCCCUCCCGGGUUCAGGUGAUUCUCCUUCCUCAGCCUCCCGAGUAGCUGGGAUUACAGGUGCCUACACCACCACGCCUGGCUAAUGUUUGUAUUUUUAGUAGAGAUAGGGUUUCACCAUGCUGCCCAAGCUGGUCUUGAACUCCUGGCCUCAAGUGAUCUGCCUGCUUCAGCCUCCCAAAGUGCUGGGAUUACAGGUGUGAACCACCAUGCCUGGACUAAAGUUGUUGUUGUUGUUUUUUUUAAUGGUGUGAAAUAUGGUGAUAGUUCAUAUAAAUAUCUGUGUCAGUUCCUAAAAAGAAUAUAGAGGAAUAAAAGACCAAUGCAGUAAGUAUUGACUUAACAGUCCUUGGAAGGCAUUUUUCUCCCUUCUUCAAGUUUUAAUAAAAAUAAAACCCUAAAAUUCAUAGCAUCAUGGAAUAGAAGUCUGGUAAAGCGAGCAGAAUAAUUUAUGCAUAAUUAUAAAAUAACUGGUGCAUUAAGUGGUUAUAUGAUCUGUCUCAUGAGUUAGUUGGUCAAAUUUUAUACACAGCUUAUUUAUAAUUAAUUAUUUCUUAAUCUCCCUCCAAUUGUUUAAUGGUUCCCAUAUGCUUGCUUGUGCUUUAGCUUGUAUGCACUUGGUGAAUCUUACCUACCACAAACAGAAGUCUGGAAAGUGAAAAUUUAUUUCCUUUUCACCAUGACCAGCCUUGUUCAGGUAAUUCUCCAGAGAUAACUACUCUUAAGAGAACAUCUGAGAGGCACAGACCUGAGAAAGAAUCCCCAGGCUGAAGAGGUAGAAGUUGGCAGAAGUUAAAAGCAAUGUCUCCACAAUGGAGAAGUGACAUGCUAAAGGAACCUGGCAUCUAGACAUUUCCUAACCCCCAAUCCCUCCUUACAUAUGACCUGCUCUUAGAGGAGUACAGCGUGGUGGUUAGGAGUGUGGACUCGGCAGCCAGAAAUCCUGGGAUCUGUUGCUUGUUAGCUGUGGGCCUUAAGCUAAGAACUUAACCUCUCUGUGCCUCAGUUGCUCCAUCUGUUCAAAUGAAGAUAAUGAUAAUGAAGAUGAUAUCACCUGCUGUGUAGGAUUGUUAUGAAAAAUCAAGAAUUAAUAUUUGUAAAUCACUUACAGGGUCUGGCACAUAAUAAGUGCUGUGUGGGUGUUUGUUAAAUAAAAUAAUAUACAAUGACAUAGGCAUUGUGGUUGUUCUUCCUAGUCUCCUAAAGAAGCAGUUGUUUCUGAAACCUUCCCAAACUCAAAUAUAGCUGAAGUUGCUCAAAAUAUCAUGUGAAAAUCCCUCCUCUUCACCAGCCCCUCCACUGUAGAGGCUUCUUUGUGCUCACAGAAGCCCUAUAUUUCAGUGGUCUGUUCUGGAUGUCUAAACUUCUCAUAAGAAGUGAUAUUUUAUGGGGCCCGGUGCAGUGGCUCACGCCUGUAAUCUUAGCACUUUGGGAAGCCGAGGCAGGUGGAUCAUUUGAGGUCAGGAGUUAGAGACCAGUCUGACCAAGAUGGUGAAACUCCGUCUCUACUAAAUACAAAAAAAACAGACAGGAGUGGUGGCACAUGCCUGUAAUCCCAGCUAUUUGGGAGGCUGAGGCAGAAGAAUCGCUUGAAUCCUGAAGGCAGAGGUUGCAAUGAGCCAAGAUCGCACCAUUGCACUCCAGCCUGGGCAACAGAGCCAGAGCAAAACUGUCUCAAAAAAGCAAACAAAAAAAAGAUAAAGAAGAGGUGAUAUUUUAUUUACGUUAAAAAAAAAUGGACAGAUACUAGGUGUCUGAUUCCCAGACAGUUGUUAGCACAUUCUUUGUGUUCAACAAAACAUUCUAAUAAGAAGAGAAGAUUUGUAAAAACACAUAGAAGAAAUUGAUUAACAAACAUAAGUACAGUGAAAAUUAUCUGGAUUCUGGCUGGGCACGGUGGCCCGCACCUGUAAUCCCAGCACUUUGGGAGGCCGAGGUGAGUGGAUCACUUGAGGUCAGGAGACCAGCCUGACCAACAUGGUGAAACCCCAUCUCUACUAAAAAUACAAAAUUAGCCGGGCAUGGUAGUGAAUGCCUGUAAUCCCAGCUACUUGGGAGGCUGAGGCAGGAGAAUCACUUGAACCUAGGAGGCGGAGGUUGCAAUGAGGCAAGAUUGCACCACUGCACUCCAGUCUGGGCAUCAAGAGAGAAACUCUGUCAAAAAGAAGAAAGAAAGAAAGAAAUUGAUUAGGAAACACAAGUGCAAUGAAAAUUAUCGGGAUUUUGGCCGGACAUGUGGCUCAUGCCUGUAAUCCCAGCACUUUGGGAGGCCAAGGUGGGUGGGUCACCUGAGGUCAGGAGCUCAAGACCAGGCUGGGCAACAUGGCAAAACCCCGUCUCUACUAAAAAUACAAAAAUUAGCCAGGUGUGGUGGCAGGUGCCUGUAAUAUGGGAGGCUGAGACCCAAGAAUCGCUUGAACCCGGGAGGCAGAAGUUGCAGUGAGCCAAGAUCACACCAUUGCACUUCAGCCUGGGUGACAGAGCAAGGCUCCAUCUCAAAAAAAAAAAAAGAAAAUUAUCUGGAUUCUCAGGAAAUGUUUGAUUUGCUGAACAUAAGAGAAAAUUUUAGGAAUAGAAAAUAAGAGAAAAUUCAUUGACAGUAUAUAUUUAUAUCCUAUAUUUUCAAAUGUUAAUAUUAUAACUGUCAGAAAUAAUGCCACAUUUUAUUUAUUGAAGAGCUGAUUAUCCAGAUCUGAGAUUUUACAUAUCUUUUUUUUCUUUUUUCUUUUUAUUUUUAUUUGAUACGGAAUCUCGCUCUGUUGCCAGUCUGGAGUGCAGUGGCACAAUCUCAGCUCACUGCAACCUCUGCCUCCUGGGUUCAAGCGAUUCUCCUGCCUCAGACUCCUGAGUAGCUGGGAUUACAGGUGCGUGCCACCACGCCCAGCUAAUUUUUGAAUUUUUAGUAGAGAUGGGGUUUCACCAUGUUGGCCAGGAUGGUCUUGAUCUUGUGACCUCGUGAUCUGCCCGCCUCAUCCUCCCAAAGCGCUGGGAUUACAGGCAUGAGCCACUGCGCCCGGCUGAGAUUUUACAUUUUUUUUUUUUUUUUGAGACGGAGUCUCACUCUAUCACCCAGGCUGGAGUGCAGUGGCACGAUCUCGGCUCACUGCAACCUCUGUCUCUUGGGUUCAAGAGAUUCUUCUGCCUCAACCUGCCGAGUAGCAGGGAUUAUAGUUGCCGGCCACCACACCAGGCUAAUUGUUGUAUUUUUAGUAGAGACAGUGUUUCACAAUGUUGGUCAGGCUGGUCUCAAACUCCUGACCUUGUGAUCCACCUGCCUUGGUCUCCCAAAGUGCUGGGAUUACAGGCGUGAGCCACCGCACCCGGCCUUACAUAUCUUUUAUUACUAUUUUCUUCCUACACCAUCCCCGCAAUCUCCUGUAUUUUUAUCAAUUACAAAGCACGUGGAGUCAGGUGUGAAAUUUUUUUCUCUAAAUAUGGUUAGACUUCUAAGGCAAACCGUAUGGUUCCUGACUUCCUCUAAAGGAGGACUAAUGGGUCACUCCAUCUGGGGGGCAUCCCCAUUCUCUGGAGUAUUUUGACUAUAGCCUUGAGUUAAACACGUGGUUUGGUUGGCUGUACAUCAUGAUUUAAUUUCACAAGAAUCUUGCAUGUCUCAUUUCCUCAUACUAUCACUAAAAAGAUUUGAGGGGUUGACACUGGCUUUCAACCUCAGCUUCAGCACAGAAUCCAAAUUGUAGGAGUUAGGGAGUAUAUUAUGGUCUAAAUGUUUGUGUUACCCCCUUCUCCAUUCAUAUGUUGAAAUCCCAACCUUCAAGGUGAUGGUGUUGGGAAGUGGAGCGUUUGGGAAGCUAUUAGGACAUGAGGGCAGAGUUUAGUGUCCUUAUAAAAGAGGCCCAAGAGAGACAAGUCCUUGCGUCUUCUACCAUGUGAAGACUUAGCCAGAUGGCACCUUCUAUGAACAAGAAAGCAGGUGCUCACCAGAAACAGCACCUGCUGGUAUGUUGAUCUUGGACUUCACUGCCUUUAGAAUUGUGAGAAAUACAUUUCUUUUGUUUAUAAGCCACCCAGUUUAUGGUAUUUUAUUACAGCAGCCCAAACCAGCUAAGAUGGGGAAUUUCGAUGCUGAAAGAGGGAGGGAAAAUUAGAAUGCUGUGGCUAGCCACUGAUGAACCCAUGGACAGUUAGCUUUCAAACUUUUAGACUAUGAUUAAUAUACUAAGAAAAGACACUACAGCAGAUACAACUGUAGCCAACUUACAGUUGGGUAUUUUAUGUAUUUGUUUGUUUCUUUUAUUUCUCACCUUGUUCCAGAAUGUGAAGCAAAGCUAUCUUAUUAUUUCUCUUCCAGGACAGCAUCAGGAAAAUAUGAAGCUCUUGUUUCUUUUCUUUCUCCUUGGCCUGCAAAGGCCUGUGUUUAGCUCUGUAAUAAUUUCUUUUCAAACUUGAGUUGCUCAGGCAACUACACUCUUUGCUCUCUAACUUGACCCCAUUUCCUGAUGAAUGGUCUUUUCAUUUCUUUGCUAAGACCUAAAGGUUUUUACAUUCUGCAAUUUUCUCUGCUAAAUAGCUCUAGGCAUUACUGCUUAUAAAAUCAUAGACAAUCAUAAAACCUUAGAUUUGGAAGGAACCUUGGAGACCAUCUAAUCCUACCCCCUCAUUUUACAGUUAAAGAAAUUGAGUUCUCAAGAGGGUAAAUAACUUGUUCAGAGUCAUCCAGCUAAUUUGUAGACUGGGUAGUAUUUUCCCAAGCUAAUUUUUUGACUUGAAUAGAACUACAACUGAAACCAUUUUAAAGAGCACAUACUUUUACAUCUUGAUCCUUUUGAAAUAUAAUAAUAUAAUUUACAGAACCAAAUUUAUAAAAUCACCACUUUUAAUCCUGAAAAACACUGUGAUGUAAGAAAUGGCUAAAUGAGGUUCGUUAUUUACAUGCUUUUUAAUAGGCCAUGUAUUAAAACUCUGGUCUCAGAUUUACUAGUUAAUUGAAGGUUGGCUAAAUCAACCUAAAGAGAUUGCUUUGCUUUACCUAAUGACUUCUAUGGUGGAGGGCAGGGGCAGUUGAAAGAAAAUGGACCAACACAAACAGAGAGACAUAAUGUCAGCAUGGGAAUGAGGUUAGGCUCAAUAAUCUACUGUCAUUAUUAUUACUGUUAAUAUAAUAUCAUACUUUGUGUGCAUAACAUCAUGACUCUAGCUUGGCAGUAUGAAGUCCAGAUAAGAAAUUAUAAGUUACCUUUGUGUCCAGAAUUUUAAUCUAGCUAGAGCCAAAGAUGAGUCAUCCUCUUUUUACUGCGCACUCGCUUCAGACAGAGGGGUCCUCCUAUGUGGCCACAGGUAACUCAUAGAACCUUUGAAGAGCCACUUUUCUUGACUGCUCUAUAUCUCUCUUUGCAAAAUUGUGUAUCUCACAAGUAGGCUCAUUCUCAACAUUUGUGAGCUUAAUGGGAAUGUGCCAAUGGAUAUUUCUCACCCUGCUCCAAUGGAACACCCACCCUUCUGUCCAUACUGACCUCACAGAGACUUGUAAGUGCUCAGACUCUACCCCACAUAUCCAAGCUCUAUCCACAACUCCAAACACCAUACACAGCUGCCCCU